UUUUUGUUGGCCGAAUGUUGAAGAAGAGAAAGCCAUAACAAGCUUGCUAAGGUUCGGCCACUUCUAAGCUCAAUUAUCAAGAAAAGCAAAAUUCGGACCUAAAUCGGGGGAAAACUAAAGUUAUCAACUAAACGACUCGAAUCGCCGUUUUAGCAUCUCAGAUUUUGAAAGCUAGCGCGAGUUUGAGAAUCAUUCAGGACCAUUGUCACACUAUCGAUCGCUAUUUCGGUACUUUAUAAGUUUGUACUUUUGACUAAUGGCAUGUAUAGGCUAGUUUCAAUAUGGCACAUUUU
Gossypium raimondii (Peruvian cotton) is the source of this 293-nucleotide long non-coding RNA. RefSeq lists it as uncharacterized. The transcript has 3 exons. The record is from RefSeq and is a predicted model, not a curated record. NCBI's taxonomy places the organism in Eukaryota, Viridiplantae, Streptophyta, Magnoliopsida, Malvales, Malvaceae.